GAUGAAGAACGCAGCGAAAUGCGAUACUUGGUGUGAAUUGCAGAAUCCCGUGAACCAUCGAGUCUUUGAACGCAAGUUGCGCCUCAAGCCAUUAGGUUGAGGGCACGUCUGCCUGGGCGUCACAUAUCGUUGCCUGAUGCCAGUUUCCUCGUGAUGGGUGACUGUGCAGGGCGAAUGAUGGCUUCCCGUGAGCAUUGUUGCCUCAUGGUUGGUUGAAAAUUGAGUCCUUAGUAGGGAGCGCCGUGAUAGAUGGUGGUUGAGUGACGAACGAGACCCAAUCAUGUGAGACCCCUACCGAAUUUGGCCUUCAUGACCCACAUGCGUCUUUGGAACGCUCAUGACGAGACCUCAGGUCAGGCGGGGCUACCCGCUGAGUUUAAGCAUAUCAAUAAGCGGAGGA
This 400-nucleotide unclassified non-coding RNA is filed under the name soil metagenome. RNAcentral's name for it is "partial contains 5.8S ribosomal RNA, internal transcribed spacer 2, and large subunit ribosomal RNA". The stretch from base 1 to 122 matches the Rfam family "5.8S ribosomal RNA", at positions 35 to 154 of the family's 154-position model. The record is from RNAcentral.